RNAcentral lists this unclassified non-coding RNA (1267 nucleotides) under Hevea brasiliensis (rubber tree). The record is from RNAcentral. Lineage: Eukaryota; Viridiplantae; Streptophyta; Magnoliopsida; Malpighiales; Euphorbiaceae.
GUUGUUGAAAAACUCAUUGCAGAUUUUGGGAGUAUACUUUAAAAUGAUUUGAAAUGGCUCAGCUCAAGCAGAUCUAUGUUCAUCUCCUCAACUAAGGGAAGAAAGGCUUACACAGAUGGAAGUCAAUGGAAAGCAAUCACCAGAGAAGUAUGCUGUCGUCACAGGAGCAAACAAGGGCAUUGGCCUUGAGACAGUGAGGCAGCUAGCUUCUCAAGGCGUGACGGUGGUGCUGACGGCUAGAGAUGAGAAGAGAGGGAUAGAUGCAACAUCUUCUCUGCAUAAAAUGGGUUUAACAAGUGUAGUUUUUCAUCAACUUGAUGUUUUGGACCCAAUUAGUAUUGAGUCCUUAGCCAACUUCAUCAGGGACAGAUUUGGAAGGCUUGACAUCUUGGUUAACAAUGCUGGAGCCUCUGGAGUUGUGGUUGAUGAGGCACGUCUAAGGGCCUUAAAUAUAGAUCCUGAAAUAUGGCUUUCAGGCAAGGCAAUUAACAUGAUUCAAGAGGUGAUUAAAACAACUUAUGAGAAGGCUGAAGAAUGCUUAAACACUAAUUACUUUGGUGUCAGAAGAGUAACAGAAGCUCUCCUUCCACUUCUUCAGCUUUCCACUUCAGGGGCCAGGAUAGUUAAUGUCUCAUCUCUCAGGAGUGAGCUAAGGAGAAUCCGACGUGAAGAACUUAGAAAUGAACUUAAUGAUAUAGAGACACUAAAUGAAGAGAAACUGGAAGCAAUAUUGAAGAGAUUUUUGCAUGACUUGAAAGAGCAUAGACUUGAAGCUGGUGGAUGGUCAUUAAUGCUACCAACAUAUAGCAUCUCCAAGGCCACCCUUAAUGCCUACACUAGAGUUCUUGCCAAGAGGUAUCCUAAUAUGCUCAUAAACUGUGUUCAUCCUGGCUAUGUCAACACCGAUCUCAAUUGGCAUACAGGACCGAUGACUGUGGAAGAGGGAGCUAGAGGUCCUGUAAAGUGUGCUCUUCUACCAAAUGGAGGCCCUACUGGUUAUUAUUUUGAUCAAACUGAAGUUGCAGGCUUUUGAUCACCUUGCCGUUUUCUCGUCACAAUUCUCAAUUUCUUUCUACCUGGCUAUGAGCCUCUUUUAACCCCAUAAAAGAUGGGGACAAUAAUAGUUUUGGUUGUUCUUAGAAUAUGAUGGCUCUAGAUAAUAAAACCCAGUUUAGCAUUAUAGCAUAUUCCUAUUUUUGGUUGACAACCAGUUUUUUAAGGCACGUGCAAUGCACGUAUGUCUAUAUCAUUUUUAAUUAUUCUAAAA